RNAcentral lists this ribosomal RNA (341 nucleotides) under Scaphander punctostriatus. RNAcentral's name for it is "partial 16S ribosomal RNA". It matches the Rfam family "Archaeal large subunit ribosomal RNA", at positions 2003 to 2644 of the family's 2987-position model. Lineage: Eukaryota; Metazoa; Mollusca; Gastropoda; Cephalaspidea; Scaphandridae. The record is from RNAcentral.
UUUAACGGCCGCGGUACUCUGACCGUGCUAAGGUAGCAUAAUAAAUUGGUUCUUAAUUGGGGCCUGGAAUGAACGGGUUUACGGAAUUUAGCUGUCUCUACUUAUCUAUUACGAAUUUACUAAUAAGGUGAAAAGGCCUUAGAAAGAUAAAAGACGAGAAGACCCUUAGAGUUUAAUAAUCUUUUGUUGGGGCGACACGGAGUCAAUAUUAUCACUCCAAGAUAUUAAGACGGAUUUAUCAUGAGUAGACAAACUACCUGAGGGAUAACAGCAUAAUCUUUUUUAGGUUUGUGACCUCGAUGUUGGACUAGGAAKUCUACUAGCAGCCGCUAGUAAGAGGG